ACGAGCUUGCUCUGAUUUGAUUUUAUCUGACAAAGAGUGGCGAACGGGUGAGUAACACGUGGGUAACCUACCUCUUAGCAGGGGAUAACAUUUGGAAACAAGUGCUAAUACCGUAUAAUACCAACAACCGCAUGGUUGUUGGUUGAAAGAUGGUUCUGCUAUCACUAAGAGAUGGACCCGCGGUGCAUUAGCUAGUUGGUAAGGUAACGGCUUACCAAGGCAAUGAUGCAUAGCCGAGUUGAGAGACUGAUCGGCCACAAUGGGACUGAGACACGGCCCAUACUCCUACGGGAGGCAGCAGUAGGGAAUCUUCCACAAUGGGCGCAAGCCUGAUGGAGCAACGCCGCGUGUGUGAUGAAGGGUUUCGGCUCGUAAAACACUGUUAUAAGAGAAGAACGGCACUGAGAGUAACUGUUCAGUGUGUGACGGUAUCUUACCAGAAAGGAACGGCUAAAUACGUGCCAGCAGCCGCGGUAAUACGUAUGUUCCAAGCGUUAUCCGGAUUUAUUGGGCGUAAAGCGAGCGCAGACGGUUAUUUAAGUCUGAAGUGAAAGCCCUCAGCUCAACUGAGGAAUGGCUUUGGAAACUGGAUGACUUGAGUGCAGUAGAGGAAAGUGGAACUCCAUGUGUAGCGGUGAAAUGCGUAGAUAUAUGGAAGAACACCAGUGGCGAAGGCGGCUUUCUGGACUGUAACUGACGUUGAGGCUCGAAAGUGUGGGUAGCAAACAGGAUUAGAUACCCUGGUAGUCCACACCGUAAACGAUGAGUGCUAGAUGUUCGAGGGUUUCCGCCCUUGAGUGUCGCAGCUAACGCAUUAAGCACUCCGCCUGGGGAGUACGACCGCAAGGUUGAAACUCAAAGGAAUUGACGGGGACCCGCACAAGCGGUGGAGCAUG
Molecule: ribosomal RNA, 896 nt
Filed under: Weissella paramesenteroides
Lineage: Bacteria; Bacillati; Bacillota; Bacilli; Lactobacillales; Lactobacillaceae
Description: bacterial SSU rRNA
Rfam family: Bacterial small subunit ribosomal RNA
Source: RNAcentral